UACGUAGGGCGCAAGCGUUGUCCGGAAUUAUUGGGCGUAAAGAGCUCGUAGGCGGUUUGUCGCGUCUGCUGUGAAAACCUAAGGCUCAACCUUGGGCUUGCAGUGGGUACGGGCAGACUAGAGUGCGGUAGGGGUGACUGGAAUUCCUGGUGUAGCGGUGGAAUGCGCAGAUAUCAGGAGGAACACCGAUGGCGAAGGCAGGUCACUGGGCCGCAACUGACGCUGGAGGAGCG
RNAcentral lists this ribosomal RNA (233 nucleotides) under uncultured bacterium. RNAcentral's name for it is "partial 16S ribosomal RNA". It matches the Rfam family "Bacterial small subunit ribosomal RNA", at positions 524 to 755 of the family's 1533-position model. The record is from RNAcentral.